UUUAAGAUUUCCACUGUUUAUAGACAUGCUCAACGUUGAAACUUCCUUUAACCUCUCUUCUCUGUUGUACAAUAGUUUCAAGUUUUAUCAGCAAUGCAUAUUCUCCUUUCUUCACCUUCUUUUUUCAGUGAUUUUAUGUUCACAAAAGGAUUAAUGUGCAAAAUGAAAAGAAAAUAUAGUUAGCUCGAUUUUGAAUCUCAUUCACCAUCAAUGCAUCUUUUGGAGGACAAGAAUAAAAUAAUUUUCUGUCGUGGAACAAAAUAUUUCUUGUCUCUUCCUCGAAUAGAUUCUUGUUUUUUGUGGUUUAUUAUUUUGGAAUUUCAAUGAAUUAAUUGCGGAUGGCUCAUAAGAUUUUAUAUUGCAUAUAACUUAUCAUUAAAGGUCAUCUCACCCUCAAUUUUCAUGGCCAAAUGAUGCUACACACUUUAUGCAAACAGGAUUUAACGAUAAUGCGUCUACAACUUAUUACAUCUUUUCCUUAAAGAAAUAACAGUAAUAUGAUUAGUGAUUAUUUCUUCUUCUGUUAUUCCUUUGACUUCGCUGCUUCUUUCUCCUUCCCAUCAUUAUUUUGUGCUCCAGCUCUACAAUGAUUCUUGCAAACCAUAUCGGUUUUCCAGUUGACAUCAUGAAAUAUACUAUGGAUAUUCCAAUACAUAGUCCACUUCCAUACCCCAUAAGAGCAGCUUUCCGAAAAUCACUCAGAAAUUCAGAAUUGCUUUCUUCAUCAUCUACGGCAUAAUUUUUCCCUGAUACAUGAUCAUUGCCACAACUUAUUGAAACUGGAAAACCACGUAAUCCAUCAUUGCCUUCAUAUGAAUUGUUCUCAAAGGUCUGAAAUUGAUUUCCAUGAGGAAUGCACCCUUCGAGAUGAUUGUAGGAAAGAUUUAAGACUGCAAGAGAAGUAAGAGAAGCAAAUUGUGCUGGUAUCUCUCCUACAAGAUGGUUACUUGAUAGGUCCAGUGAUUCAACCAAAGAUAAACUUCCAAGUGAUGACGGUAUAUGACCUUCCAAUCCAUUAUGAGAUAUAUUCAGCACACGGAGUGCAAUGAGAUCUCCCAUAAUAGUUGGAAUAUGUCCUUCAAAUUUGUUCUUUGAAAGAUCGAUAGUGGUGUACAAAAACAAGAUUCUCACAACUUCACGCUCAUAUCCCUUGGAUACGACAGCUAUCGAGUCUUGGUAAUAUCGAUCUGCACCAUAUCUUGAUGCUUCCAAUGAUAGAUCAAUUGUCCUCAUGGCUUUCAGAUGUUGAAACAAACUCGAAGGUAAGUUUCCUGAGAAGGCAUUGUAAGAGAGAUCUAUGAUUCGAAGCUCUGGAAACAUGUUCUCAAUCCUUGAUGUUCUGAUGGGACCAUGCAAUUUGUUGAAUCGCACGCUUAGAACUUUCAGCUUUGGUAGAGUCCCCAACCACACGGGGAAUGUGUCGUUGAGGUGAUUGUCUCCUAAAUCAAGAACUUCAAGUUGUUUGCAAUUGGUCAAGGAUUGUGGGAUUUUCCCCUCUAGUUUGUUGCCAUGCAAGUUGAGGCUGCUCAGUGAACUUCCAUUGCUGAAAGUUGUUGGAAUAUUCCCAGAAAGAUUGUUGUGGCGCAUAUCCAAAACCUGGAGGGCAGUAAUAUUACCCAAACAUUGCGGAAUUGCUCCCUUCAAAUUGUUUGUCGCCAAAUCAAGCAUUACCAGUGUUGUCAAAUUGCAAAUAGAUGAAGGAAUUUCUCCAGUGAGACUAUUAUUAGAUAUGAAGAAGAAUGUAGUGGAAUUUGAUGGAAUGGGUAGUGAUCCUUGAAGCAAAUUGGACCGCAAAUCAAUAGUAUCUGCAAACUGAAGAGGAAUUGAAUCCACACUCGUCAGCAUAUUGUGGGAUAUAUUAAGAUCUUGCAAUGAAACAUCCAGUUAGACCAUGCCCAAUCAGGAAUUCUUCCUUGAAUCUUAUAUUUGAAAGAUCCAACUGCCAAAGCUUCUUUGCGGAUCUUAGAAACUCCAACUCUUUCACUUCACAUGCGGCCAAUUCUAACGUAUCAAGAGAUUCGGGCAAAGUAACGUUGUUGUCAUUGGUCAAUGAGAUAUUAUUAUAUGAAAGACGAAGUUCCACAAGCUGUUUAAGGUUUGAAAAGAGGCUGACAUCCACGCGACCACUAAAAUUAUUGAAAGAAAGAUCCAAAUGCCGAAGAAGCUUUGCGGAUCUUAGAAACUCCAACUCUUUCACUUCACAUGCGGCCAAUUCUAACGUAUCAAGAGAUUCGGGCAAAGUAACGUUGUUGUCAUUGGUCAAUGAGAUAUUAUUAUAUGAAAGACUAAGAUACCGAAGCUGUUUAAGGUUUGAAAAGAAGCUGACAUCCACACGACCACUAAAAUUAUUGAAAGAAAGGAUAAGGCCUGUUAGGUUCACAAGGUUUUGAAUUGAGUGGGGAAGAUGACCCUGCAGCUGGUUGCCCUCUAAAUAUAUCGAGAUUAGUGAAUUGGACUUUAAAUCUUCAAGGGGACCAGAUAAGUGAUUAUUACUCAAGACUAUUGUAUUUAGUGAUGGAAGGGAUAACAUCCCUGAUGGUAUUGUUCCAUUCAGGGAGUUAUAUGAAAGGACCAAAUACUCAAUGCGGGUGAGAUUUGAAAGAGAUUCAGGAAUAGGCCCUCUAAGGUUGCAACUUACAAGAGACAAAUAACGCAGCGAAGUUAGAUGAUAGCCAAUAGACUCUGGAAAAUUAUCAGAAAAAUUCACCAUACUGAGAUGUAACUCUAUGAGAGAUGCACUGCUGUUCCAUUUGGCCUUUGGAAAAUAACCAUUGAGAUGAACAUUGUAACUUAAGUCAAGUAUUUCCAAGUUGGGCAGGUGAAAUAUACUCUCAGGUAUUAUCCCAUACAAUCCUGUUUCUGACAGCCUCAGAGUCGUGAAAUGAGAAGAAAAAUUCAGAGGAAUGGUGGAAGAGAUGUUUACUUGAGUAAGAUCAAGCUCUCUUAAUUGGGUCAAGUUCUGAAGAAGCGAUUUAAAAUCAUGGGAUGUGAGUCUUAGCUCCUUAGUGUAAAAGUUAAAAAAUGUGGAGAUACGAAGAGAGUGUAACUUGGAAAGNNNNNNNNNNNNNNNNNNNNNNNNNNNNNNNNNNNNNNNNNNNNNNNNNNNNNNNNNNNNNNNNNNNNNNNNNNNNNNNNNNNNNNNNNNNNNNNNNNNNAAUAAAAAUGUUGCAAUAUCAAUUAAAAUUGUUGCCAAAAUAUUCAAAAAAGUGUUGCCAUAAGAACAAUCUAUUGCAACAUACUCUAUUGCAAUGGUUCCUAACGGUUACCAUAUACCCUAAUGCAACAGUUGUAAACUGUUACAACAGUUGUAAUAUUAUAGUGCCUAUAGAUGGACAGAAAACCGUUGCAAUAGAAGUUCCUAUAGCAACACUUUCAAGAACCGUGACAUUAACUGUUAUAAUAGAGCUAUGGUAACGCGAGUAGAUGAGACGGUUGUAAAACCGUUGCUGUAGCGCUAUGGCAACGGUUUUAGGUCCUAUUGCAACGCAUAUGAAACUGUUGUUGUAGAUCAAAAUUCUAGAAUAUCUUUUCCAAAAUUAUUAAACUUCUCAAAAGUUAGAGAAUUGUCUAGAUUUGUUGAUUUGAUGCUCAAGACAAAAGAAUGACUUUAUUUAUCAAUGCUACUUAAGUGAUUUAGAUUGUCAGGAAGUUUGCUUCAAAAUAGUUGUUACUAUGUAAACAUUGCGCUUUUGAUUUACUAAUUUUCUAUUUCUUAAUAUUUCAGUAUUUUCGACGAAAAAAUGUUCAUAUGACUUCUAAUAAGCCCAGUUGGUAUUUAUUUAAUAGCUAAUUUUUAUGAGAUAUAUAUUUUGAUUAAUGCAAAUAAAUUUAUAUAUAUAUAUAUAUCAAGUUUACAAGAUCUUGUAACUUCAAAAUAUAUUUUAAAAUUUUUUUGAGUUCCUUUUUUGAAAGAAAAAUAACUCACAACAAAUGUGAAAAUAUGUGAAUAUAUAUGAUCAUUUAAAGUUUAUCAUUAACAAAAUAAAUUUUAUAUUUAGUAAUAUGGAAUAAACAUUUUCAUCUUGUCCCUACACUAAAGUAAAAUCUAAUACCUAUAUAAAAAAUAGUAACAUAAAUUAAAAGUCCUAUUUAUUUAUGUAAGUAUAAAAUUUAUUAGAAAUUUAUCUAUAAUUCUUUAGUUGUAACAUUAUAAAUUCUCUUAGUUAUUACUAAUUAUUGCAAAUGUUAUUCACGGUCUUUUACACUUUUUAGUUAUAAUAUUAUGAAUUCUCAUAGUUAUUGCAUUAAUUAUUUCUAUCUUUCAUCUUUCCUUAUAUUAACUUUUGACCAAUAAUUUUUCAUAUAGUUAUUCCUCCCCUAUAUAUGUGAUAACAUGAUGUUGUUAUUUUUCCUUGGACGAAUCAUUCUUGGUUGAAUAAAUUGAAAAUUGUUUACAAGUAUAUGAAUUAUAUCUUUGUUGGGUGUAAGAUAAACAGGUGAUUAUAUAUAUGAUUUCACAGAUAGCAUAUAUUUUUUAAUUUUAAUUUUUAGUUUUUUCGGUAAAAAAAAGGAAAUCUUUCUCAGUUAACUAUGAACAUUCAAAUAACUAUCUUUGAUUUAUGUACACAGUCAAUCGAAAAGUCAAAUAUGAGAGCCAACAAAAUGAACGUCAUCUAUUAUGAUAUAAGUUAUAAAAUAAAAAUUACAAAAAUAGUUCUAAAAAAUAAAAUGUAGUUGUUCUCCACAUGUUCAUACGACAUCCAAACAUAUUAAGUGGAAUACAUGUACAAAACAUAUCUAGAUAGAUGACAAGAGAAAUACACAACAAAUAUCAUCUUUAAGGUAAUAUUAGUGAGAUACGACUAAUUACAUGAUUGAACCUUCUCAAAUAGAAAUAAGUAUAUACAUUACUAUAUUUAACUAAUGAAACUUUUCAUUGACCAUCUUCAUAGGUUCAUGUGAAUAAGAGAUAUAUAUGAUGAUCUACUUUGAACAAUCACAAAAGAAUCUGCAAUAUUAUUUUGUGCAAAGCAUAUUAUUCAAAUCUUCGCUUAAAUUUUUUGAAUUGAUAAUCACGUGCAACGCACGUGUCGAAAAACUAGUAUUAGUAUAAGUGGAAGCUUUUAACUUCAAAGUUGGAUUACCAUUUUGCCCUUUCCUAAAAGAAUCUCUUCAUUUAAGUUUAUUUUUACAAAAAAAAAAAAAAAAAAGAGGAGACAAGAAAUACCAAAAGUCAUUACUUUUAUUUAAUAAACAACCGUUUCUUUCCUGGCAAUUCAAUGAUCGCAUUGACAUAUAACUAUUUCCUCCUAAGAGAUAACCCCCCAUAAGUUUUUCAGAAUUGAGAUAUUUCUUUAUCUUCCACAUUCAACUCUUGUAUUUUCUUAUUUUUUUAGAAUGAAAGAUUUUUUUUUUUCUUAUCACGUGUAUUUUUUUUAUUUUUUUGAAGGGAAACAAACAUUCAUACUUUAUCAACAAAAUCAAUUAAGAGACGAUGCUGAAGAAAGACAUCAGCUUAAUCUUCUGGGCAACAUGAAAACAAAAUUUUAAUUUAGGGAAGGUAAGCUCUAAAAUGGCAAAUAUCAUAAAGUCCGUUGUAUCUUUCUAAAUGUGGAUUGAUCAAUUUUCUCUUCUUUUUUUUUUGUGUUUUUCAUGAAUAUCGUGUGAUUAUAUAUUGUUGUUUUAUACAAGGUUUUUGGGAUAAUAGAAUACCAACUUAACUUUGCAACACCAAUUAAUUAUAUAUUUUUUGCUUUAUGCAGAUUUUAUACGGUUGAAUUAGUGAAAAGAUAUAAUUUCUUUCUUUUCUGUUUGCAUAGUAGGUAAUUGUUCUUCUGAAUAUUUUAGCACUUCUUAUGGACUAUCAAACUAUUUUUUUCCUAUUUGCUUUUUAUUGUUCUCAUUUUUUAUAUCAAUUAUUUGUACUAUUGUUCUCAUUUUUUAUAUCAAUUAUUUGUACAUUACAAAAGUCUAUUUUUCUCAUCAAUUGAAUAAGUUAAUAUCUCAAAUGGUCACUCAACUAUCUACUUUUCUCUUAGAAAGUCACUCAACUUUGUAUUUUAACUUAAAACCACUCAACUAUCCAUUAUUCUCUCAGAAAGACACUCAACUUUGAAUUUUAACUCGAAAGUCACUCAACUAUCAAUUGUUUUCUCAGGAAGUCACUCAAUCUAUUUUAUUGAUAUUUUAAUUAAAAUUUGCUGAUAUAACUUUUUUUAUUUAAAAUCCAAAUAACCAUUUAAAACAUUUAGUGACCCGACCCGUUAAAAAUAUAAUAUUGACCCAUUUUAUUUUACCCAUUCUCCUACCUUACCCGUUAAAAAUUUUAAUUAAAAGGAUUAAUGCGCAAAAUGAAAAGAAAAUAUAGUUAGCUAGAUUUUGAAUCUCAUUCACCACCAAUGCAUCUUUUGGAGGACAAGAAUAAAAUAAUUUUCUGUCGUGGAACAAAAUAUUUCUCAUCUCUUUUCGAAUAGAUUCUUGUUUUUUGUGGUUUAUUAUUUUGGAAUUUUAAUGAACUAAUUGUGGAUGGUUCAUAAGAUUUUAUAUUGCAUAUAACUUAUCAUUAAAGGUUAUCUCACCCUCAAUUUUCGUGGUCAAAUAAUGCUACACACUUUAAGCGAACAGGAUUUAAUGAUAGUACGUUUACAACUUAUUACAUCUUUUCCUUAAAGAAAUAACAGUAAUAUUAUUAGUGAUUAUUUCUUCUUCUGCAAUUCCUUUGCCUUCGCUGCUUCUUUCUCCUUCUCAUCAUUAUUUUGUGCUCCAGCUUUACAAUGAUUCUUGCAAACCAUACCGGUUUUUCCAGUUGACAUCAUGAAAUAUACUAUGGAUAUUCCAAUGCAUAGUCCACUUCCAUACCCCAUAAGAGCAGCUUUCCGAAAAUCACUCAGAAAUUCAGAAUUGCUUUCUUCACCGUCUUGCUGUCCAGAUACGGCAUAAGUUGUCCCACAACUUUUUGUAACAGGAAAUCCACGUAAUCCAUCAUUGCCUUCAUAUGAAUUGUUCUCAAAGGUGUGAAGUUGAUUUCCCUGAGGAAUGCACCCUUCGAGAUGAUUGUAGGAAAGAUUGAAGACUUCAAGAGAUGUAAGAGAAGCAAAUUGUGCUGGUAUCUUUCCUACAAGAUGGUUACUUGACAGGUCCAGUGAUUCAACCAAAGAUAAACUUCCAAGUGAUGACGGUAUAGGACCUUCCAAUCCAUUAUGAGAUAUAUUCAGCACACGGAGUGCAAUGAGAUCUCCCAUAAUAGUUGGAAUAUGUCCUUCGAAUUUGUUGUUUGAAAGAUCGAUAGUGAUAUACAAAAACAAGAUUCUCACAACUUCACGCUCAUAUCCCUUGAAUACGAAAGCUAUCGAGUCUUGGUAAUAUGAAUCUCCACCAUAUUUUGAUGGUUCCUUUGAUGGAUCAGCUGUCCUCAUGGCUUUCAGAUGUUGAAACAAACUCGAAGGUAAGUUUCCUGAGAAGGCAUUGUAAGAGAGAUCAAUGAUUCGGAGCUCUGAAAAUAUGUUCUCAAUCCUUGAUGUUCUGAUGGGACCAUGCAAUUUGUUGAAUCGCAAGCUUAGAACUUUCAGCUUUGGCAGAGUCCCCAACCACACGGGGAAUGUGUCGUUGAGGUGAUUGUCUCCUAAAUCAAGAACUUCAAGUUGUUUGCAAUUGGUCAAGGAUUGUGGGAUUUUCCCCUCUAGUUUAUUGCCAUGCAAGUAGAGGCUCCUCAGUGAACUUCCAUUACUGAAAGUUGUUGGAAUAUUCCCAGAAAGAUUGUUGUGGCGCAUAUCCAAAACCUGGAGGGAAGUGAUAUUUCCGAAACACUGCGGAAUUUCUCCACGCAAAUUGUUUGUCGCCAAAUCCAGCAUUAUCAGUGAUGUUAAGUUGCAAAUAGAUGAAGGAAUUUCUCCAGUGAGAUUAUUAUGGGAUAUGAAGAAGAGUACUGUGGAAUUUGAUAGAAUGGGUAGUGAACCUUGAAGCAAAUUGGACUUGAAAUCUUCAAAGGGACCAGAUAAGUGAUUAUUACUCAAGUCUAUUCUAUGUAGUGAUGGAAAGGAUAACAUCCCUGGUGGUAUUGUUCCAUUCAGGGAGUUACGAUUAAGGUGCAAAUACUCAAUGCGGGUGAGAUUUGAAAGAGAUUCAGGAAUAGGCCCUCUAAGGUUGCAACUUUCAAGAGACAAAUAAAGCAGCGAAGUUAGAUGAUAGCCAAGAGACUCGGGCAAAUUAUCAGAAAAAUUCACGCCACGGAGAUCUAACUCAAUGAGAGAUGCACUGCUGUUCCAUUUGGUCUUCGGAAAAUUACCAUUGAGCUCAUGAUUGAUCCCUAAGUCAAGUAUUUCCAAGUUGGGCAGGUGAAAUAUACUCUCAGGUAUUAUCCCUUACAAUCCUGUUUCUGACAGGCUCAGAGUCGUGAAAUGAGAAGAAAAAUUAAGAGGAAUGGUGGAAGAGAUGUUUAUGCCACUAAGAUCAAGCUCUCUUAAUUGGGUCAAGUUUUGAAGAAGCGAUUUAAAACCAUGGGUUGUGAGUCUUAGCUUUUUAUUGUAAAGGUUGUUACUGUAAAAGUAAUAAAAUGUGGAGAUACGAAGAGAGUGUAACUUGGAAAGAUGAGAGAUUUCAGAAGGAAUUUGACCUGAGAAAUAGGACCCAGAAAGAUCAAGAUGCAUCAAGCUCGAAAACUUGCUGAAUUCAGGGGAGAUAUGAGAAUUGGAGAAGUUAUUCCAAGAAAGAUCAAGCCUUUGGAGAUGCGAGAGUUGGAAUAGGCUGCUAUUGGAAUCGAUGGUUCCAGUGAGAUUACUGCAACUGAGGUCAAGUUCAAUGACAUGCCCAGUGAUGUCAUCACAUACGACUCCAUCCCAUGAGCAGCAAUCUCUACUCGUGUUCCAUGAACUCGUUUUUGGAUAAGGCUUCGGACAAUAAUAAGAUUCUACUGUGAAAAACGCCAGAGGCUGACGGAUCUAUAGUAAAGGUGUUCUUGAAUUUUAGAAGUGAAAUGGUUUGAUGUUUGUGAGGUAAUAUGGAUAUUGAAGAAACUUCAUGACAGAAAAACACAAUUAAGAGCAUAAUAACUGCAUACCCCAUUUUUAGCUUCAAACACUUCCUAAGUAUGCAAUAAAAGUAUGCAACUAUAUAUAUAUAUAUAUAUAGGCACAUAUUUGCUUGACCAAGUCCAAGUUGGAUUGCAGUAGUAAUAAUUAUCAAUUUUGGCAUUUUUAUUUUUCAUUCUGGGGCUAAUAUAUCAUAAGUUCAUUAGGUAUUUUAAUUGACAUGUAUUAUUUCAUUGUUGUAUAAAUAUUUUUAAUUUUUUUUUAUGUAAUGUAUGUUGUUUUUAAUACACUAAAUUAAAUAAUGCAUAAGAAAUAACAUAUGUAUGGUUAAUGCACGAUAACUAAUACAAACAUUACUAAUACACUCUAUUGAACAUUAUUCUUGUAUACCCAACGUACUAAUAGGUGAUUACUUAAUGCAUGCAUUAGCAUGAUUAAAGGAACAAUUGCCCCUCAAAAUAUUUUCCAUAUUUGUAGAUGGUAUUUUUGUAAAAUAAAUCUUUUUUAGAAAUUAUCAAUGCGUGUUAUUUUUAAUACAUCAAACCAAAUAAUGCAUAACAACAUAAUAAAUAAUCUCAAAAUAGCUAAUACAAACAUUAUAUAUUCAUCAUCAUUCUUAUAUAUCCCUACCAAAUGUGUAUUUGAUGUUCUGAAUCCAUAAACUUUAAAACCUAACUCUAUCUCUUAUGUUAAUUAUAUAAUUAAUGAAAAUGCUUAAAUAGACCAUUGAACUUAGAAAAAAGACUAAUCUAUGUCAUGUGUUAAAAAAUUGGCUCAUCCAUGCCAUUUUCGUUUGAGAAUUGAAGACUCAUCCAUGCCAUUAUUUGUUUGACUAACUCCAAAUUGGAUGCAGUUUAUCAAUUUAUUUAUGAAAUUUAUAUCAAAUUAGGAGGAAAAUAAGGAAAAAUAUAUUUUGUGAUUUGAAAGAAGAUAAUAUUUCAUAUUGAAAGGAAGAAUUUAAGGGAGGGGAAAAGGAAGAGAUGAGGGAACCGAAAUCAGUGGUGACGUUAUUAACUUCUUUCCACUUUUUUGUUUUACUAAUUCCUUUAUUUUCCUGCUGCAUUUUUAAUUAGUUAAUUGUUCUCAACUAUAAGAUAUAUAAUUCCCUACCACCAUUUCAUUAAAUUAAAAGAAGCCUUCAUUUUAUUUCAAUUUUUUUUUUUUAAAAAAAAGAGGAUAUAAUAAUAAAAUUAUGCAAAAAAGGAGUACGCGGCAUCUUUCUUUAACUUAGCAUCGGUAUUUUUCUCUUUUUUUCAACUAAAAAUAUUGAUUACAAUUAAAUACACACCCUAUGUUAGUUUCUUCCCUUAAAUUUCUUUUAUUCAUUUCUUUAUGAUUAGAAUUAACAGUUGCACACCGAAGAAGCUAGAGUUUUAAAGAGUGCUUAUUCUUCGAGACCCAUGUAUGACUGUCAAGGCUUAUCAGUUAUCAAUUUAUACACAAUAUUAAUUUGUCUCAACUUUUUUUUAAAAAAUAAUUCUAAUUGUUUUUUAUUUAUAUAUAACAAUUAGAAAAUUCAAAAAUUAUUUCUUAAUUAUUAUUUAUCUAUUUUUCAAAUUUAGAAAGUCCAAAAGUCAUUAUCAUUAAUUUAGUGAUUUAAUCAUCAUUUAUUAUGCAAUAAAUAAUAUUAUAUAAUAAUUUUUAUUUAUAUAUAGAGUAAGCAUAAAAAAAUUUCUGCAAUAUUACGAUAUCCAAAAUAUUUUGAAGAUCAAAAGGUUGAUAACAAUAUAAUUACUAAUACAAAUAUAAUUAUUAUUCAUGAAAAAAUUCACAAAUAACUUGAAAACAUGAUUAACUGAAAAUAAUUGAAAGAUCAAUACAACGAAAGAAGACACAAAAACUAAAAAAUAGAACAAGAAGAUAAAGAGACAGAACAAAAAAAUCAGAUUUAGAAAACCAAAUAAACUUGGCUAAUUAAGACGAUAACUAUGAAUUAAUUUUAGUUCAGGAAGAAAGAGGACUCAACUUUCCUUUGCUAUAUUUUACUAUAAUUAUAAUUAUAUUUAAAAAUAUGUCUAUUAAUUACUUGAUUAAGUUAUCAUGUUUAUCUUAAAAAUUAGGGAUAAUACAUAUAUUUGACCUUAAACUUGGCUUCAAAUUUUAACUUUGACCUCCAACUUUCAUAGUGCACAAACAAGCACUUUUAACUAUCCAAUCUUUUAAUAAAUAAACACGCGAUUUUUUGGAGCCAAGAGCGUGAAAUGCAAACGCUGCCACGUGUAUUAGCGAGCCACUCAAUGGCUGCCAACUAAUUAAACACUUUACACGUCCAUUUUAGAACUAAAAGAAAAAUAAAAAUUAAUUAAGGGUAAAGUUGUCAUUUCAGCAUUUUUUUCACUGUUGUGUGCCUCAAAAAUUACCUCCCACUCGCGCAAAAUGCAUGCACAUCACGCGACUUAAAAAAUCCCACUUGCUAUAAAAAUUUCAAAAAAAAGCACUUAAAAAGUAGAGAAAUAUCAUUCUCAAAUAUUAGACACGACUAAGUCAUAUGACAGAGUGUAUUUUUGGUAUAAUUAUAAGAUAUUGACUUGUUUACCUAAUAUUUAGAAUGAGAAGUGACUUUUUCUAUAUAAAAAAAAAAUUGAUUUCUCAUUCGAUUUUCGAUAUCCACAUUAGGGUCCCGAUUAAUUUGGAUUCUCUCGGCCUAAGGCCUAUUAAAGGGGGAAACAACACCAAGUUUUUGCACGGAGUGUCCCUCGAAAUAUCUUUUUUCUUGCACCGAGAAGUAUUCAUGCAGUUCUUUAAAUUAUCAAGUAAUUGCAAUGAGAAAUUUCAAAGAAAGCUAUACCACACAAUUUAAUUUCAAUUUAAUGAGAAAUUUCAAAGCUUGCAAAAGAAAAAAUAGGAAAAUAAAUAAAUUAUGGAAAUAAAAACAGCAAAUCCUUACACUUGAUUUAGACAUUUAUUUAUGUGGAUCAUUUCUUAUUCUGAAGGGAGACUUAUUUAUAAAGAAAAAAUUAACUUUAUGGAUCGAUAAUUGAUUUAGUCAAGCAUUUUUUAAGUUGUGUUUGUUUUGGUAUAAUUGUAAGAUAUUGAAUUGUCAAGAGACUUUAUUGGACAUGUAUUAGAAUGAAACGUGGCCUAUUUUUUAUUUAUUUAUUUAUUUUCAUUUGAUUUUAAAUAUCCACAAUAGGGGGUUAUAGAAAGGGAAGGCGAGGUUUUAAAAUCUAUUAUGAAAGCGGGCCUCUACUGGUAGUGAUAUCCCGAUCUCAUGGAUGAAGGCUAACAUUUUCUAUUGGAAUAGAGGGAUUAAUCAAGAUUUUCUCCGUGUGAGACUCAUUAAAGGCGUAAGCACCAAGUUCUGACGCAGUGUGCCUCCAAAUAACUUUUUUCUUGCACCUAAAAGUAUUAAUGUUGUGAAAAUUUCAAUGAAAGUCACUUUGAAUUUUCAUAUUGAAAUAAAUUUAGCAGUAAUUUUUUUCUCUUUAAAUAAAUCAAUAUUAGGAUAAUCUAAGAGAAAUCUUAGGAAUAGGAUCUGUAUUCAUUAAAACUUUAGAUAUCAAUAACUUAUAUUUUAAAUUAAUAUUCACAUAAUUUGAAACUAUUUAGUCCUUGCACGUGAUCGAGUCUUGCCAUAGAAGUUUUACUUAACAAUAUAUGUAUAGGCACAUAUUUGUUUGACUAACUCCAAAUUUGAUGCAGUAGUAUUAAUUUAGUCAUGAUUUUUUUUCUCUAAUAAAGUGAAGGAAAUAAUUGUUACUUUAAACCCAAUAAUAACGGUGAUUCAAAUAUUAUUAAUCCACAUAUAUAUUUUACAUAUCAUUAGUACAUCCAUCUUCCGUAUUAUAUGUGGAAUACAUUUGAAUGAUUAAAUCAAAUUUUGUACCAAAUGUAUUAACUUGAUUUAUAGUCCUUUCUUUACUUUAAUUAGCCCACUUCAAACAACGAUUGGUGUUAUUGCUUUUUUGUUCCUUCUUUAUUGAUUACUUAAUUUUAUAAAUAACUAUUUAAAGAAAUUUCUUUAGAAGAUAAAGUAAAAAAAAAAAAAAAAAACCUAGAAUAAUCUAUUUUUUAUGAAAAAAAAAAAUCAUUCAGACCCGAAUAGAGAUUUUCUUCAAAUAAAAUUAAAGUUCCACCUUGACUUAUAGUAAAUUUGAUAGCAACUGAAAAGAAAUAUGGAAAUUAAUGUUUGUUAUUCUCAAGUCAAUGCACGAGUCUUGUUAUAGAAAUUUCAAAGAAAGCUACAUCACACAAAUUGAUUCAAUUUAAUGAAAAAUUCCAAAGUUUGCAAAAGAUAAAAAUAGAUAAAACCAAAGUGUGUUUUGGUUCAAGUACCAGCAAAUCCUAACGCUUGAUUUAGAAAUUGAUUCAAUUUAUUGAAAAAUUCCAAAGUUUGCAAAAGAAAAAAAUAGAUAAAAACGAAGUGUGUUUUGGUUCAAGAACCAGCAAAUCCUAACGCUUGAUUUAGAAAUUGAUUCAAUUUAUUGAAAAAUUCCAAAGUUUGCAAAAGAAAAAAAUAGAUAAAAACGAAGUGUGUUUUGGUUCAAGAACCAGCUAACAAAUCCUUACGCUUGAUUUAGACACUUAUUGAUAUAAUAUAUUAAUGUGUUUUUUAACUUGGUCUCAGCUCAUAUUCAUGCCCUCCAAUUUUUGGUGUGCAUAAAUAGAAACUUAAACUUGUAUAAAGUUGAACAAAUAUACACACACGUCCUACAUGACAAUUUUAUCUCAUAUGUUUACUAGUUCAACUUCAUACAAGUUAAAGUGCUUACUUGUAUACACCUAAAGUUGAAAGAUAUAAAUGUAAAAUGAAGCCAAGUUAAAGGCACAUUUAUGUAUUAUGCCGACAUUUAUUUAUGUAGAUCUAUUUCUUAUUUUGAAGGUAAAAUCUAAGAUAAAUCUUAGGAAUAUGAUCUAUUUUCAUUUGGAAGUUUAAGUAAAUCUAUUUUCAUUAAAAUUCUGGUUAUCGAUAUCCUACAAUUUUUAAAUUAAUAUUCACAUAUUUAAAAACUUAAAAACUACAUAGAGAAACAAAAUUUUCAAGUCCUUGCACAAGUCUUGCCAUGGAAAUAUCAAAUGAAAGUUACUUAACAAUCAUACUUUCACUUUAAAUUUUCAUUUUGAUGUGACUACAACUUACUCUUUACUUUAAAUUCCAUGGACUUAGAAAACUUGAGUUGAUUGGUAUAAAGAUUUUAGUAGAGGCAAUUUGUUCAUCUUGUAUUCCUAAGAUAAUUAGAACAAAAUUUUGAAGAACUUUGUAAGAAACAACAAAGUUUAAAGAGUAUUUUCAAAAACUAGAAAAUUCAAACUAGUAGAGAAAAUAGAAUCAGAAACAACUGGUAUUGAUAUUGUGUUACAAAUCUUACAACAGUACUUAAAAAGGUUUUUUCUUUUUCUUAACUUAUUCAUUCUACCGGAAUAGUUCUAGACAAGCACAAAACAAUGAGAAUAGCUGAACAAAACUAACACAUCAUUAACCGCAUCCAUGACUUAAAUUAUAAACUAUAUAGGAAAACAGGGAAAAUCUUUUCAACGGGAGGACAGACCAAAUUUUAUUUUCAUCGAGCCCAUGCGAAGGGUUUGGUUAAGAUACGCCAGAUUCCACCAAGUAUACAAAUGGAACCUAACCAUACAUGUCCUCCGAUUAUAUCUUCUAAAUCAUCCCACUAUCAAUCCAUCCUUCCCCUCCAAAAGGGGAUGUUAGUAGAAAACCAAAUAUGAAACUCAAGCUAAGUGUCAAAUUGGUAGUUUUUCUGACAUCUCCCCCUCCCGGAAAUCAGGUUCGUCCGUAAUCUGUUUCAACCAAAAGAUGUAGUCAUUCCAACCAAAAGCGGUCAGGUUUAGGUGUUACAACUAAAUUCGCUUAUAUAAUACUACCAAGUCUGAAACUUUCUAAGGACAUAUUUAUCAGCUAGUUGGUAAGAAAAGCAAACAUAAGUAUAUAUAUACUUACUUUUGAGAAAAAGUAACUGUAACAUAUGUAAAUAUACUCGAUUGAUAGAAAAGCUUGAGUCGGCACCAGAAUAAUGAACUAACUGCUGUAGCACCCAAUGAUGUAGCUUACUGGUCAAUGAUGUGGGUUGAGCACCAUGAGGUCUCAAGUUGAAUUUCCAACAGAGACAAAACACUAGGUGAUUUCUUCUCAUCUGUCCUAGCCUAGUUCUAGCCUUGGUCAACAGAGGUACCCAAUACUUGUUGACGGUGGGAGGUGGCAAGUAUCCCGUGGAAUUAGUCGAGGUGCGUGAAAGUUGGCCCGGAGGCUCCAAACACCACAGUUAUCAUAAAAAAAGAACUAACUGCUGUAUAGAUAUAAAUAUAGAUAGGAAACAUCAGUAAUGUCUCAGGAAAAGUGAUUUUGCCCAAAAUGUCUGAAGAUGGUUCUAGUCGGACCAUAUUUUCUUUACCAUAUGAGUAAAAUUUUCCCAAAAAGACUAGCAUAAACUUCCUUACAAGCUAAAGUGUUGUAGGGGAAUCAUACAAUCCCAUUACAAAUGAGUUACCACAUUGAACAAAAUUGAUUAUAUCCUUCAUUAAGCAAAGCAAAGAAAAAAUCAAGAAUCGACGGCAGGAAUCCCAGCCAGGAAACACAUAAGAGGGAUUCAAGUUUUCUAAGAAAUGUUAACUGAUUUGAGCCAAAUACCAUUUCAACAGCUUCAUUCUAAUGCAACCCUCAAAUAAGUUCCCCAUUUGUCAAAACCAAAUCAAUCCUCAAAUUCCCAGGUAAAAUCAAUCAAACAAGUUAACAAUAUCAACGAAUACUUAACCUGCUGACCAAUUUCACAUAGGUCAACCUGACAUCUAAUUCUACCACAACUUGAAGCAAAACCAGGUCCAAAAUCAAAUCUUCAUCGACAUCUCAAGUUCAAAAAUCAAACCUGUCACGGACAAAAGCCUAGAGUUUAAGUGGAUAAGACAUAAGAGUAGACAUGCGAGCCAAUUAUCUACCAAGUUUCAAACCGUGAACCCAGGGUUAUCAAAAAAUCAAAUCUUUAUUAAAUAUAUUCCAAUAACAACAUAGAAAGAAGCCAUCUCCAAACACUAGGAAGUGUAAGUUCUCCACCUAGUUACACAAAUUAAGCACCAUCCUCACCGCAGAAAGAUCCUACAUCUUGGCAGUGGGUGUAUUCAUAUGAACCCUUUUUGUUAGAAAAUUAAGCAAAGGUACGGAAAGAGAUGGACUUGAACCCAUCCACUACCUCCCUUUGAACUAUAUAAUAUUGAAUGAAACAAUCUAUCAAAAUAUGUCUCUAUGUAUAUAUGCACACAUCCUACUCACCAUACCUCACUUCUUUUUUUAUAACGGUAGUGUCCAAGCCAACUUUUGCACACCACGACUAAUUCCACAGGAUACCUGUUACCGGCCACCUCCCACCACCAGCAUGUACAGAUAACUAUCCAUCAAAGGCCUAGACGGAUGGGAAGAAAUCACCUAGUUUUUUUUUUUUUUUCUCUGGUGGGAUUUGAACAUGAGAUAUGACUUGUUAUAUGUCUCCAUAUGAUAAGUUUACACUCAUUUUCAAGAAGCAUAAAUAAUGGUUUCAAAGAUAUUCCAAACUCAUUUACUCAACAAUAUUGGAACCACUUAUCCUCACUCAACAUCAAAUCAAUCAUACAUCAGAAAUUAGUCAAUAAAUAGCAACACUAAAUGUGGAUCUAGCCCUUCGAAUCGUGUUAAACCAAAUCCACUUCUUUCAGCUCAAACAAUUACAACUAAACUUAUCAUAUCAUAUCAUAUAUUAGUAAAAGUAGGAAACUCCAAAGUGCAAAGUUGGAUCACAUUGACAUAUAACUAUUUCGUCUUAAGAGAUAACCCCCCAUAAGUUUUUCAGAAUUGAGUGAUUUCUUUAUCUUCCACAUUCAACUCUUGUAUUUUCUUAUUUUUUUAGAAUGAAAGAUUUUUUUUUCUUAUCACAUGUAUUUUUUUUAUAUUUUUGAAGGGCAGCAAACAUUCAUAUUUUACCAACAAAAUCAAUUACGAGACGAUGCUGAAAUGUCAAAUAUCAUAAAGUCCGUUGUAUCUUUCUAAACGUGGAUUGAUCAAUUUUCUCUUCUUCUUUUUUUUGUGUUCUUCAUGAAUAUCGAAUAUCGUGUGAUUAUAUAUUGUUGUUUUAUACAAGGUUUUUGGGAUAAUAGAAUACCAACUUAACUUUGCAACACCAAUUAAUUAUUGAUUUUUUGCUUUAUGCAGAUUUUAUAUGGUUGAAUCAGUGAAAAGAUAUAAUUUCUUUCUUUUCGAUUCACAACGUAGGUAAUUGUUCUAUUGAAUAUUUUAGCACUUCUUAUGGACUAUCAAACUAAUUUUUUCCUGUUUGGUUUUUAUUUUUCUCAUUUUUUAUUUAUCAAUUAUUUGUACAUUACAAAAGUUUAUUUUUCUCAUCAAUUGUUUUUAACAUUUCAAAAUCUCGAAAUAUACUUACGAAUGAAUAACAUUUUCAAUAAUAGAUAUUAUCUUUGGGAUAAAUAUAUAAUAUUAUACUUCAUAAUUCAUUGUACUUAAGUCUCCAAAACAUAAUUAUUAUUUUUAUGUUAUAUUAAUUUCUAAAUUUUUCAUUUUUCAUAUAUUAUAUUAUUAUUUUGAAAGUGAAAGCCUUUUAAGUUAAAAAAAAAUGAAUUACCAAAAUGUCCAUUAUAAGUUGGACAUUUUUACUGAUUAGUCAUGAACUAUUUCUUCAAUAUUCAAGUUAUACAAAAUUGUAAGAAAAAAAAUCAUAAAAUAUUACCAUUAAAUUAUUAUAAAUUUGAGACUUAGUUAACUUGGAGAUAGACCAGAGCAGUUAACUUGCUUUAACCUCUCUUCUCUGUUGUACAAUAGUUUCAAGUUUUAUCAGCAAUGCAUAUUCUCCUUUCUUCACCUUCUUUUCAGUGAUUUUAUGUUCACAAAAGGAUUAAUGUGCAAAAUGAAAAGAAAAUAUAGUUAGCUAGAUUUUGAAUCUCAUUCACCACCAAUGCAUCUUUUGGAGGACAAGAAUAAAAUAAUUUUCUGUCAAGGAACAAAAUA
RNAcentral lists this long non-coding RNA (17907 nucleotides) under Solanum tuberosum (potato). Its description in RNAcentral is "long non-coding RNA (STUB_LNC011949)". Lineage: Eukaryota; Viridiplantae; Streptophyta; Magnoliopsida; Solanales; Solanaceae. The record is from RNAcentral.